GUGUUUGCUUUGAAAGGACAUAUAUUAAAAUUGGAAAAAUAUAGACAGAAAAGAUUAGCCUGGCCCCUGUGCAAAGAUGACAUUCAAAUUUUUAAAGCAUUCCAUAUUUUU
This is a small nuclear RNA of Bison bison bison, 111 nucleotides long. The record is from Ensembl. NCBI's taxonomy places the organism in Eukaryota, Metazoa, Chordata, Mammalia, Artiodactyla, Bovidae.